AUUGAACGCUGGCGGCAUGCCUUACACAUGCAAGUCGAACGGCAGCACGGGUGCUUGCCCCUGGUGGCGAGUGGCGAACGGGUGAGAAAUACAUCGGAACAUGUCCUGUAGUGGGGGAUAGCCCGGCGAAAGCCGGAUUAAUACCGCAUACGAUCUACGGAUGAAAGCGGGGGACCUUCGGGCCUCGCGCUAUAGGGUUGGCCGAUGGCUGAUUAGCUAGUUGGUGGGGUAAAGGCCUACCAAGGCGACGAUCAGUAGCUGGUCUGAGAGGACGACCAGCCACACUGGGACUGAGACACGGCCCAGACUCCUACGGGAGGCAGCAGUGGGGAAUUUUGGACAAUGGGCGAAAGCCUGAUCCAGCAAUGCCGCGUGUGUGAAGAAGGCCUUCGGGUUGUAAAGCACUUUUGUCCGGAAAGAAAUCCUUGGCCCUAAUACGGUCGGGGGAUGACGGUACCGGAAGAAUAAGCACCGGCUAACUACGUG
Molecule: ribosomal RNA, 486 nt
Filed under: uncultured bacterium
Lineage: Bacteria
Description: partial 16S ribosomal RNA
Rfam family: Bacterial small subunit ribosomal RNA
Source: RNAcentral